This 477-nucleotide ribosomal RNA is filed under the name uncultured bacterium. RNAcentral's name for it is "bacterial SSU rRNA". It matches the Rfam family "Bacterial small subunit ribosomal RNA", at positions 30 to 505 of the family's 1533-position model. The record is from RNAcentral.
AUUGAACGCAGGCGGCAUGCCUUACACAUGCAAGUCGAACGGCAGCACGGGAGCAAUCCUGGUGGCGAGUGGCGAACGGGUGAGUAAUAUAUCGGAACGUGCCCAGUCGUGGGGAUAACGUAGCGAAAGCUACGCUAAUACCGCAUACGAUCUAUGGAUGAAAGCGGGGGAUCGCAAGACCUCGCGCGAUUGGAGCGGCCGAUAUCAGAUUAGGUAGUUGGUGAGGUAAAGGCUCACCAAGCCGACGAUCUGUAGCUGGUCUGAGAGGACGACCAGCCACACUGGGACUGAGACACGGCCCAGACUCCUACGGGAGGCAGCAGUGGGGAAUUUUGGGACAAUGGGCGCAAGCCUGAUCCAGCAAUGCCGCGUGCAGGAUGACGGUCCUAUGGAUUGUAAACUGCUUUUGUACAGGAAGAAACACUACUUCGUGAAGUAGCUUGACGGUACUGUAAGAAUAAGGAUCGGCUAACUCCG